Long non-coding RNA from Hyaena hyaena (striped hyena), 71 nucleotides. RefSeq lists it as uncharacterized. The record is from RefSeq and is a predicted model, not a curated record. Lineage: Eukaryota; Metazoa; Chordata; Mammalia; Carnivora; Hyaenidae. The transcript is spliced from 3 exons.
AAAAAAUUAGUAGUGGGGGGCACCUGGGUGGCUCAGUCAGCUAAGCGACUGACUUCGCCCCAGGUCAUGAU